GGGCGAUUAGCUCAGUUGGUUCAGAGCAUCUGCCUUACAAGCAGAGGGUCGGCGGUUCGACUCCGUCAUCGCCCACAA
This 78-nucleotide transfer RNA is filed under the name Bacteroidota bacterium. RNAcentral describes it as "Bacteroidetes bacterium (sediment metagenome) tRNA-Val". It matches the Rfam family "tRNA". From Rfam's summary of the family: Transfer RNA (tRNA) molecules are approximately 80 nucleotides in length. Their secondary structure includes four short double-helical elements and three loops (D, anti-codon, and T loops). Further hydrogen bonds mediate the characteristic L-shaped molecular structure. tRNAs have two regions of fundamental functional importance: the anti-codon, which is responsible for specific mRNA codon recognition, and the 3' end, to which the tRNAs corresponding amino acid is attached (by aminoacyl-tRNA synthetases). tRNAs cope with the degeneracy of the genetic code in two manners: having more than one tRNA (with a specific anti-codon) for a particular amino acid; and 'wobble' base-pairing, i.e. permitting non-standard base-pairing at the 3rd anti-codon position. RNAcentral also lists the same sequence under 1 other name. Lineage: Bacteria; Pseudomonadati; Bacteroidota. The record is from RNAcentral.